RNAcentral lists this unclassified non-coding RNA (349 nucleotides) under Hevea brasiliensis (rubber tree). Lineage: Eukaryota; Viridiplantae; Streptophyta; Magnoliopsida; Malpighiales; Euphorbiaceae. The record is from RNAcentral.
CAAUCACUUAGUUUCUUAGUGUUUUACCCUCGGUCGUUUCCUUUUCUUGGUAUCCUGAUAUUCUGUAGUCUUAUUUUCUUGCAAUAAUGCUUUGAGUACCUUCUCUUUUGAGCCGAGAGUUCAUCAGAAACAACUUCUAUCCUCCACGAGGGUAAGGUAAACACACAUCUUAGUGUUUUACUCUUGGUCGUUAUCCUGAUAUUCUGUUGUCUUAUUUUCUUGCAAUAAUGCUUUGAGUACCUUCUCUUUUGAGCCGAGAGUUCAUCAGAAACAACUUCUAUCCUCCACGAGGGUAAGGUAAACACACAUCUUAGUGUUUUACUCUUGGUCGUUAUCCUGAUAUUCUGUU